This 555-nucleotide ribosomal RNA is filed under the name Bifidobacterium bifidum. RNAcentral's name for it is "bacterial SSU rRNA". It matches the Rfam family "Bacterial small subunit ribosomal RNA", at positions 145 to 711 of the family's 1533-position model. The record is from RNAcentral. Lineage: Bacteria; Bacillati; Actinomycetota; Actinomycetes; Bifidobacteriales; Bifidobacteriaceae.
UUCUCCUGGAAACGGGUGGUAAUGCCGGAUGUUCCACAUGAUCGCAUGUGAUUGUGGGAAAGAUUCUAUCGGCGUGGGAUGGGGUCGCGUCCUAUCAGCUUGUUGGUGAGGUAACGGCUCACCAAGGCUUCGACGGGUAGCCGGCCUGAGAGGGCGACCGGCCACAUUGGGACUGAGAUACGGCCCAGACUCCUACGGGAGGCAGCAGUGGGGAAUAUUGCACAAUGGGCGCAAGCCUGAUGCAGCGACGCCGCGUGAGGGAUGGAGGCCUUCGGGUUGUAAACCUCUUUUGUUUGGGAGCAAGCCUUCGGGUGAGUGUACCUUUCGAAUAAGCGCCGGCUAACUACGUGCCAGCAGCCGCGGUAAUACGUAGGGCGCAAGCGUUAUCCGGAUUUAUUGGGCGUAAAGGGCUCGUAGGCGGCUCGUCGCGUCCGGUGUGAAAGUCCAUCGCUUAACGGUGGAUCUGCGCCGGGUACGGGCGGGCUGGAGUGCGGUAGGGGAGACUGGAAUUCCCGGUGUAACGGUGGAAUGUGUAGAUAUCGGGAAAGAACACCA